Lotus japonicus is the source of this 1955-nucleotide long non-coding RNA. RefSeq lists it as uncharacterized. The record is from RefSeq and is a predicted model, not a curated record. Lineage: Eukaryota; Viridiplantae; Streptophyta; Magnoliopsida; Fabales; Fabaceae. The transcript is spliced from 2 exons.
ACAGUUUUCACUUCUUUAUAACUCUUCUUUCAUCUGCUCAGCGCAGAUUUCCAUUAAAAAACAUAACAGCUUUAGGGUUUCUGGCAGCAUCUGCAUUUGAUAUAUAUUCUCAUCUCAUUCCUAGUUGCUCCAACUUCAUCCAAGCUUAGCAUCAUAACCAGGCCACAUUUUAUUUUAUACAUAUAUCAUCUUUCAAAAUAUUUUUGGUUUCAAUAAUUUGCCUGUUUGGUUUUUAUCUUUAUUCUUCAUCUUCUUCAUGGAUACUGCUGAUCUGAAAAUUAGGGCUUCCUGCACUCAUUGUUCCAUGCCAGCAAUUUUUUGUAUUGGAUAGUUAUAUAUGGUAUAUUAAUUAACCAAACAUAUUGGUAAUAAUUUUCAGAACUUUGUUUGAAACUUUGAGUUUGUAAAUUAACUUGCAUGAAGUCAUGAAUAUAGAACCUAAUUCCCGCACUAGCUUGUUUAAUUAUCAAGAAUCUGGUUUUUGCUGCUAGCUAUGGUGGAAUAAUUCAGAUCUUCUCCUUUUAUUUUUGGGGUUCUUAGCUUUCCUUUAUUUGAAACAAGCCUUAUUUUGCCAUCUGAUAUUCUUUCAUUACAUAAUUUUAUAAGAUUUUAGUUCUAAUAUAGAUAGAUGGUGAUCCAUCAAAUAUAUGGUUUAUUUCUUAAUUUUCUGCUAUAUAUGAGGUAUAUUAAUGAAUUCUCAAUAUAUUGACCCAAUUAUCAUUCUUUAGUUAUAUACAUGGCAUUUAAACUUUUGACCUAUAUAAUUACCUUAAAAUCUCACUAUAGUAGCCUAAUCAUACUGACUUGACACUCAAUUACUAAUACAAAAUUCAUAGAUAGUUUUAAUCAGAUUGAUUGAUCAUCAUACUUUCCGACUUUAUGUCUUGAAGUGCAUGUUAACGCCUGUUUGCAAUGCUGGUACUAAUACCGAGAUAUAAGUAUCAUUUGUUUGGGAGGAAAAAUGUACAUUGGGAGAGAAAGAGAAUGAAGGAGCUUCCUUCAGCCCACGCAUGGAUAUUGAGGAUAAAAAAUGUUGCUCAAGUAUAUGCAGACUCAUAUUCACUCAUGCUUCAGUAGGGUUAAAUGAAGUUGUUUGCAUUAUCUUUAUCUAUGCUUGGACUGAAGGGGAGCUCCUUCUUUCUAUUGCCUCCAUUAUUCAUUUGUUGGUAUCUGACUCAAUCAGCUUUAUUAUGUCUACUGGCACAAAUCACUACUGUAGCUGAUGUCUACCAGCUCUUUGUAUUGUAAGUAUUAAAUCUUCAACUCAACACUGCCCCAUCAUGAAAGCCAAAAAUAUCUGAGCACCAACCAGCAUAUGAAUUUUAUAGCUGGAUGACCCACUUGCUUGUACUUUUUUUUUCACUUGACAGGAAAAUCAUCAUGUGUGUCCAAGUAGCUAGAUCCAUAGCAUGUUCUGAUUAUCAACUUUUCUUUCACCAGAAUCAAUUUUGAAAUACAGAAACUAUUCACAGCAGAUUUUCUUCAGAAUUGAUUCUGAUUCAAAAUUGAUUGUAAAAAAAAAAUUCAGACAUUCACUGAUAGAAUGUUUUAAUUGGCAGUUUGCAGGUAAUUCAAAACACGGUAGUUUUAGAAGCUACAUUUUAUAGCUUCUCCUAUGAGUGACGCGGAACCAAACAUGCUAUGAUGAUCUAUAAUUAACAGUUUAACACAAGCAGUGAUCUCAUAUUAUCUCUGAUGAACACGGAAGCAGAUUAUCAUAACACUGUGCUACUUGUACUUUCCUUUCCGGUUCCUGUACAAGCAUAUCUUCUCUCUCUCUCUCCAUGCUUUUCUUUCCUCUUUUGGGGCAUGGAAAAGCAAAUGUUAGGUCAUACUAUAUAGUGUGUGUUUAGAUUUCAGUUUUACUAACAUGGUUUGGGUGAAUGUGAAUUUGUAAAAUAGAGUUUGAGUCAAAGUAGGUUGGUUGUAAUCUGAUUUAUGUUUAGAUACUUUUA